This 423-nucleotide ribosomal RNA is filed under the name uncultured bacterium. RNAcentral describes it as "bacterial SSU rRNA". It matches the Rfam family "Bacterial small subunit ribosomal RNA", at positions 358 to 773 of the family's 1533-position model. The record is from RNAcentral.
GGAAUAUUGGACAAUGGGCGAAAGCCUGAUCCAGCAAUGCCGCGUGUGUGAAGAAGGCCUGCGGGUUGUAAAGCACUUUCGGUAGGGAAGAAAAGCUCGGGGAUAACACCAACGGGUAUUGACGUAACCUACAGAAGAAGAACCGGCUAACUCCGUGCCAGCAGCCGCGGUAAUACGGAGGAUGCAAGCGCUAAUCGGAAUUACUGGGCGUAAAGCGCGCGUAGGUGGUUGGGUAAGUCGGGUGUGAAAGCCCCGGGCUUAACUUGGGAAUUGCAUUCGAUACUGCCCGACUAGAGUAUGGAAGAGGGAAGCGGAAUUUCCGGUGUAGCGGUGAAAUGCGUAGAUAUCGGAAGGAACACCAGUGGCGAAGGCGGCUUCCUGGUCCAAUACUGACACUGAGGCGCGAAAGCGUGGGUAGCGAAC